UAGAUACCCUGGUAGUCCACGCCGUAAACGAUGGGCGCUAGGUGUGGGAGGUGUCGACUCCUUCCGUGCCGAAGCUAACGCAUUAAGCGCCCCGCCUGGGGAGUACGGCCGCAAGGCUAAAACUCAAAGGAAUUGACGGGGACCCGCACAAGCAGCGGAGCAUGUGGUUUAAUUCGACGCAACGCGAAGAACCUUACCUAGGCUUGACAUGUUGGUGACAAACGUGGAAACACGUCUUCUUCGGACACCA
This 250-nucleotide ribosomal RNA is filed under the name uncultured bacterium. RNAcentral describes it as "partial 16S ribosomal RNA". It matches the Rfam family "Bacterial small subunit ribosomal RNA", at positions 779 to 1031 of the family's 1533-position model. The record is from RNAcentral.